Sebastes umbrosus (honeycomb rockfish) is the source of this 897-nucleotide long non-coding RNA. RefSeq lists it as uncharacterized. NCBI's taxonomy places the organism in Eukaryota, Metazoa, Chordata, Actinopteri, Perciformes, Sebastidae. The transcript has 2 exons. The record is from RefSeq and is a predicted model, not a curated record.
CCUAAUUGUUACACACUGUUCCUUUAAAACAUGGCAAAUUUCUCUCUCUAUGAUCACACUGUGAGGAAAAAGGUGUCGUGCCUGUUUGCUGAGGAACACGGCGUCCAGGGGCCCUUGGCUGCACUGGGCCUGAUUGUGGGGAACUGUGUGAAAUCCAAACUGACUGAUCCAGGACAGAGCCAGGAUUACACCACUUCCCCCCUUGAAUUCUGUCCUUCCCAACAAUGGGCUUCCUGUAACCACAGUCAAGUGAGCCGUUAGUUAGCCAGUGGAGCCGCAGAGUGGUGGUUCAGGGCCACUGUGGGAAAAGGCAGGGGACUCCAGCAUCAUGUUACUAUUCCUUCAACAUAAAGCCCCGAAAGCCCCCGCCAUCAGCAUCACCGCCGACCGCUUUGCUCCCAGUGCCUUCAGGAGGUGUCAGGUUCUGGCACCUGCUGGAGGCCCUGGCAGGUUCAUGCCCCUGGCAGGUUCAGAUGUCACUCCAGCAAAGGGACUGUCAGUGUCUCAGUGGUCAACAGGGGUGACUUGCAGUAGUUUAUUUCGGCCAUUGAAGGCACUACCCUCAACUGGAAAAAAUGUUGUAAACUUAACAUGAAAAAACAAGGAAAAAAAAACUUGUGCUCUGUGAAAGCCCAGAGGAGCCUUCAAAUGUUUCCCCAAGUGCAACCUGAUCCAUAACAGACAGAGUCAUGCAGCUCCCUGCGCUAUCAACACUCCAUGCACAGCAGGGCCGCUCUAAUACCCCAUUCCAACAUGGCAGCCAGGAAGCACUUGAAAAAGCACACAGCCAAGCAGUUGAAGACCAUGCUACACAUCUGCUGAAUGUAGCAAUGCAUCACCACCUGUUGAACUACAGCUACAAUUACACUGAAUAUUAAAUGUAAACUUCUAGCACUA